CAUGGUCAGUCAUGUUUACAGGCAAUUGGCACCAACUCUCCUUCACACAGACCAACCUGGUCCAUAUAGCUGAAGCCAAGCCUGGAGUCCUGCGCUACACAAUGUGGUCUGCUGGUAAAGAGCGGCUUGGGGAGUUAUCCCAAGGAGGGGGUUUGAGCAGCCUGUGCAGUACAGUGGUGAGGAUGUUCCCAGAGAUGGAAGAUGUGACAAGUCCCUGCAUCAUGUAAGAAUCUUGCUAUGUGGAUGGUGAUUCUAUUAUUUAAAGAACGGGUUUUCCAUUCAACAUGGCUCCCAAGUGUAAACCAACUAACUACUAUGUAGACUAUGUACUCUGGACUUUCGAGGUUAUUCAAGGGAUUUUCAAGGACAAUUUUUAUUACUUGUGAUUUUUGCCUCACAGACUGUCUUUAAAAUCCAACCCCUGCAUAAGAUGUGACUCUUCUCCUUGUGAAUUUGUGGCAAGAGGGUAUGGGAUUCCCAGUAGCAGAUUCUCGAAGGAGAAUGUAACCCAAAGUUGGUUGGGGAGCACCAUUCAGGACAAAUAUUGCAAAUCCUACAGUGUUAAUAACGGUGAACAUGCUAUGAUAAUUGCCAUUAUAUAGACAUUUACUGACCACCUACUUUGUGUCAGGUAUAAUUCAAGAGUGAAUUAGACAAAUCCAUGUCCCCACAGGGCUCAUAGUGCUGUGGGGAUAACAAACCAUAUGUAGUUGGCAGGUUUCUUGGAGGAGGUGGGAUAUGAGCUGGAAUCUAAAGGAUACUAGGAAUUUUAACAGGAAAAGUUGACAAAAGGGCCUGCCAGGAAGGAGGGAUAUCUUGGGCAAAGAUAUAGAGUGGAGAAAGGGCCUGCUUAGAGAAUGCACAGCUGUGACUGGAUACAGCCCGAGAUGUGGGAUGAGCAGGGAUGAAGCUGAAGACAGAAGUAGGGCCUGGCUAUGGAGACAUUCAGUGUCAUCCAGAAUAUAAACUCUCCUCUCUGUCCCAAUUGCCAAAGUUCAUUCAGCCCUUCCUUUCAUUCAUUCAUUCCAGCAUCAAAUACCUAUAGAUGCUUUGGGAGAGGGAAACCCUUAACCUAGGGAAAGGCAAGACCGACUUGGAUUCUUGUACUGAUUCGUCUGUCAUCCAGCUGUGUGACCUUGGGCAAGACCCUUCCCUUCUCCGAACCUCAUUCUCUUCAUCUAAAAAUGGGAAUAGAUAUACCUGCUAAUACUACCCAGUGGGGUGUUUGGCACUUAGUGGGAACUCAUCUCAUGUUAGUUAAAUUGGGCUUUUGGAGGGCAUCAAAUGAGGUAGUAGAUGGUCAAGUAACUAGGAAGAAAGACCAAAGACAGACUCGAAGUCCCGCAUUACUGUCGUGGUCAAUGACCUUGAGCAGGUCUUCCUCCAUCUGGAGGCAGCAGGUUCGCAGCCCUCUCCCAUCACACCAAGCUCCCUCUGCUGCAAAGGAGACGGAGAGAGAUUCAUCAAUCACCUGGGCUGAUGCCAGACAUUGGAAAUCUCCCAAUGCAUGCUAAUGCCAUUGACCUUCACUGAGACGUGCUGGAAUUUCAGACAAGCUUAUUUGACUCUGAUUCACCUUUGGAGAAAAGAAAGGUUAUAUUAUUGAUACGAAGAAAUAGCAGGAACAAAAAAUCAUUCAAACCACAACAAUUCUCCCCAGGCUUCAACCUUCACAACUUCUGUUUAAGUUCAGGUGACAUACCCUCUUAAAGAGGUCAUCACGCCUUCAUCAUCCACUCGCUUGAUUACCAAACAAGUGAACAAAUGGUCACUUUGAGCAGACCCGCAGCCAGGCCCUGGGAGCACCAAAAGAACACAGAGCAGACCCUGUGGUAAAGCUGCCGGUGUAGCGGCAAGAAAGGUGCAGAACCAUGGACACAAACAGCUGCACACAUUAACGUGUGAUGGGUCAUAACAUGGGAAAGUCCAGUGUAUUGUGGGAGCCAGACAAGGGAACACCCACUAGCUUGAGGUGGAGGUUUUGCAGAUAUUAGGCCAUGUACAGGCUGGGCCUAGCUACAGCCCCAGGGCUCCCUUUCAUUGCGUCUGCACACACCAUGCCAACAAUGUAGCAGCCUUUCUUCUGCACCAGGCUACUUCAUGCCUCCACACUCAUGACAAAGAAUGCAAGAAUAGGACUUGGGAACCGAGGAGUGCAGCCUCUUCCUAUAAGAGAGUUCAGACAAGGUCCUCUAAGGAGAUGCUUGAGCUGGCUCUUGAAACAAGAAGGAGGUCUCCCAAGGAGCUGUCCAGGGCCCUUGUGUAGCACGUGGGUAGAAAAGGAAGCAUACAAAGUUCAGUUCAACUGGAGCGUAAGAUAAAAGUGGGGGGGAUGUGGGAGUUGACACGGGAGGCAAGGUCAAGGUGGCUAAGGGCCUUGGAUGCCAGGCUCAGGAGUCAGAACUGUAUCCUGUAGGUGACAGGGAGCCCUUCAUGGUUGUAAGCAGGGCAGUGACUUGGGCAACCACCACAAUGACCCCGGGACCCUUGAAAUAAGUUCAGAUGAGGCCAGGCUUCUGUAAACUGAUAGAGAGAAAGCUGGAAUCUGACCCAAAGGAAAGAACGUGCAUUCCAAGCCCCAACAGAGCCUCAGCCAGUGAAGCAGUCCCUCCCCCUGCUAGCCCUCAAGGAGCCUCGGACUUCCCAAGGUCACCCUUUCCUGAUGAUCUUUGAUGUCUCGAAGCAUUUCUCCUCCACACUGCAAAACAAUCACCUUUUGGCAGGUUCUGCGCCAAGGACAGAUUUGAUGGCGAGCAAAUAGCCCACUGGAGAAAUAAAAUGCUUGUGUUUCUUCAGCAGGGAGAGCUGUUGGGUUUUUUAUUAUCAUUGUUAUUAUUUUUCUCUGAGCUGAACAAGUGACAGGACAUAAUAAUAUCAUUUAUUCUUACUUGCUCUUGCAAAUCAGAACUUUUUAAUAUUUUUCUUUCAAAUGAAAAUGCCAUUUAUCAUUAUCAAAUGAAGUGCUAAUGAAAACAACAUGUAGAAGAAACACAUUCACACAGCAGAGCAUGAUGGAGCACCUUGUCAGCAGUCCAUAGUCUCGCCGUUAAUUUGAUUUCUGCCAAAAAUCACUUAAGUGAGACUUGAGGAUUUUUUUUCCCCCUUACUGCUCCAGGCCCUUCUACUGAGGCCUGUUUAUUCCCUUCUACCGGGAAGGCUCUAAAAUCCUGAGCCAGUUUUCAUCUGACUUUUAAUGGAACUCCCAUUGAUUGCAUGAGGGAUGUUUGCAUGUCGGGGAGUGUAGGGGGUUAUCCUUGCCUGUUUGUGUGUUCCUGCUCUUUUGGCUGCUGGAUUUUGCCUGUGUCCUUGUUUAGGUAUGUGUGUGUUUGU
Molecule: long non-coding RNA, 3330 nt
Organism: Rhinolophus ferrumequinum (greater horseshoe bat)
Lineage: Eukaryota; Metazoa; Chordata; Mammalia; Chiroptera; Rhinolophidae
Exons: 3
Source: RefSeq, a predicted model, not a curated record